GACGAACGCUGGCGGCGUGCUUAACACAUGCAAGUCGAACGAAAAGAGGGAAAGAGCUUGCUCUUUCCGGAAUUGAGUGGCAAACGGGUGAGUAACACGUAAACAACCUGCCUUCAGGAUGGGGACAACAGACGGAAACGACUGCUAAUACCGAAUAAGUUCCAAGGGCCGCAUGGCCCAUGGAAGAAAAGGUGGCCUCUACCUGUAAGCUAUCGCCUGAAGAGGGGUUUGCGUCUGAUUAGCUGGUUGGAGGGGUAACGGCCCACCAAGGCGACGAUCAGGAGCCGGUCUGAGAGGAGGAACGGCCACACUGGAACUGAGACACGGUCCAGACUCCUACGGGAGGCAGCAGUGGGGAAUCUUCCGCAAUGGGCGAAAGCCUGACGGAGCAACGCCGCGUGAGUGAGGACGGCCUUCGGGUUGUAAAACUCUGUGAUCCGGGACGAAAAGGCAGAGUGCGAAGAACAAACUGCAUUGACGGUACCGGAAAAGCAAGCCACGGCUAACUACGUG
This 513-nucleotide ribosomal RNA is filed under the name uncultured bacterium. Its description in RNAcentral is "partial 16S ribosomal RNA". It matches the Rfam family "Bacterial small subunit ribosomal RNA", at positions 28 to 507 of the family's 1533-position model. The record is from RNAcentral.